Lolium rigidum is the source of this 2842-nucleotide long non-coding RNA. RefSeq lists it as uncharacterized. The transcript is spliced from 7 exons. NCBI's taxonomy places the organism in Eukaryota, Viridiplantae, Streptophyta, Magnoliopsida, Poales, Poaceae. The record is from RefSeq and is a predicted model, not a curated record.
AUGCCAGAACUCUCCUCUCACACGCCACCUCUCCUUCACGCGACCUCUCCCCACCCGAUGGCACGCCGCCGCCGCUGCUCCAUCCCCUCCCGGCGCAGCAGCUGCUCCGUCGUCUCUCCUCAGUACUCCAGUAGGUUGUAGUGACUGGGAAAGGCGACGAGGGGUCGAGGCCAUUGGUGCUGGAUCUCCUGGCGGCGUACCGAUGGAUUCGGUCGAUGGGGAAAAGAACAGCACCACUGUGGCGAGGGCAAACCCUAGCGUGGUAGAUUCACGUGUUGAAGCUUUUGUGGUGAUGGGAUUAAUUAUGUGCCUUCAGUACCAACAAUGAAUGUUGAUGAAUCCACUGUAUAUUCUUGGAAUUAAGCGUCCUGUUCAGCAAUUCGUGUCAGAGCAGGACCUUUUCUUCAAUGGAGCUGUUACAGCUAAUCUGAGGAAGCUAGCAAAUAUUUUCUGUGGUGUAGCUCACCUCCUGUAGCAUGCUAUGGUGUUUUCUUCUUCAGCUUAACCUGUUCUGCCACUACUAAAUGGAGAGAUACAUUGUCAGUUCUCUUUCUACACAUCUAAUAGCUCUUUAUAUUGUUACUGAAAAGAGGUAGAUUGCAACUUCUCACGUCCAUGAUGAAAGAUGAAGUUGCUCUAGAGAUUUGAGUAUUCUAUUAAAUUAUGGGAUUUUGAAAUGGCCGGAGAAUAUUUUGUAACCUGCUUAAGUGUUAAGAACAAAGAUUCCAAGUUGUUAGCCUUUGGUGAUUGCAAGUUUGUAUAUUUGCCAGAUUGGAUGUUUACCAAGGAUUCUUUCCAUGGGCAUUGGAAGGUAGGAAAUCACAGCUAUUCCUAUCAUAGACCAGGUAAUUUAUUGCUACUGCAAAAACUAUCAAAUAAUCAUAGAACUGGAGGAAUAUGAGACAGUGUUGGUCCCUACUCUUUUCAACUCAUAUACAACUUCUUAUGUUCCUCUACAAUAGUUAAAUGUUUGCACCAAUGCUUCCUUUGGAAUUUGAAGAGAUAUACUGUAUCAUGUUUAGAUCAUAUCAAGGGACUGUUUAUGUCUUGGUUUGUUACUCAUUUUCCAUAACUUUGUGUGUUUUGUCUCUCCUAUCAAUUCUCAGUGUUACAAAAUUGACGCAUAAUAGUAUUGUUAGUAAAUACUCUUCUUGAGUAAAAGUAAUCAUAUCUUUGUUAAAUUGGCUGCAUAAAAAAACCAGUGAAUUUUCUAUUUAGCCGAGCUGUUAAAUGUGUUGGAUCGCAUGAGAAUUUUUGAUGUCUGCAUACAACGCCUUAGUUUAAUGGUCUGCUGCAAGUGGGUAUAUUUUAAUUCUUUGCGGCACAGAGUAGCACACACAUACUUUCACAAUAAAAUUUUAAUUUUUUCAUCAUUGUAAUUUUCUUAUCAUUUAUAUGAUUGGCGCAACAUGAGUUUAUGUAGCGCGCAGCUAUUCAAUGCACAUUUCUAGAAACAAGCUUGCCAUGGACCAACUAUCCCACAGGUUAUGCACCGUAAGUUGUUGUUGAUGUUCAGUGAGCCAAGGUAUUCUUUCCUAUGAAGAGGGAAACACGACCUUCUGUUUAACUAUAUUGGAUUGCUCAAACUUCUUGCUGAUGAAUUCAUAUAUGAGACUACGGCUAUAUGUGCGGGGAGUGCUCAAACUUCUUGCUGAUGACUUCAUAUAUGAGACCACGGCUAUAUGUGUGGACUUGAAAAUAACCAGCUAGAUGCUUAAACCAUAUUAUGACCAGCUGACAUGCAAGUCUGUGUCAACAGGUGGUUCUGCUCUUUAAAACCAUCUGUAAUGACUCUCCUAGACCCCUUCCAUUAGAAGUAGCAAGGACAAGACAACGACAACUCUGAAUCAUCUCAAAGAAUAUGGCUAUGAUGGGAAAGGUUGUUCUAAGAUAUGGAGACCAGUAGCACAUUGUCACCGUCGCCUAGCUAAGAUUUUGCAAUACACUGGAGAAAACGAGGAAGGCCGAUGCUCUUUAUUUUGUUUCACAUUGUCUUGGGAAUUACUAUAGAGCGUAACUAUAUUUACCUAUCAGAUUUUUUUUUGAUGCUACCUGUUCAUUUUGCAUAUUGUUGUAAGUUUGAUCAUAAGCAGAUACGGACUAGAUUUCAUACUACAGUGCAAAUCUUGUGACUUUGAACAAAAGAAGCAUGCACAAUUAGACUAUUACACAACAUUGUAUUACAGGGCAACUUCGUGUGCCAGUUUCUGUUACCACUAUUGAAAUGUACCUAUAUCUUAUGCCAUGAUUUUUAUACCUGCCUUCUUAUUUGUCUCUAUUGUUACAUUUUGCUGCCGGGGUUUCUUAGUGUCUCGAAGUACCGUUUUACUAAGUUGUGCAACAAGCCCUAGCUUGCUAUUGGGAACUGCUGGUGCUUGCAUCUAUUUAGCUGACCCCAGGUCCAGGUACAUCUGCCUCUUGCCCGUGGAGACAAACUUGAUGCAGCUACUGACAUCUCCAGGCGUUGUGAUUAGCAUGCACCUGACCGGCGAGGAGGCGCCCCAAGAAACGCUUCUGACGAUUGUGAACGAUAUGUUUCUCCACAUCAAAGGAAAAGACAAGUUGGAGUCAGUUGAAUCUUCAAAUGGAGAGCCCGAUCCUCACACAUAAAGGCGAUGCUGCAUCGUAGUUCAUUAGACACAUAUUUAUUGUUCUUGCUCUUGAUCAGAAUGGUCAACAUGAUAUUCUUGCAAAUCUCUGUUGAACCAUACUCAACCUAUAGCUACUUUUUUUUGGGUGUAUUUUACUUCAUACAUUGAUCUUACGUUUGUAGCUACACCAACACUCAUUCAAGAUAAUUGUGGUUAAGUUGUAAUUCAUUACUUGUUGAGUACUCGGUCAA